Molecule: ribosomal RNA, 393 nt
Filed under: uncultured bacterium
Lineage: Bacteria
Description: partial 16S ribosomal RNA
Rfam family: Bacterial small subunit ribosomal RNA
Source: RNAcentral
AUACGGAGGAUCCGAGCGUUAUCCGGAUUUAUUGGGUUUAAAGGGAGCGUAGGUGGACAGUUAAGUCAGUUGUGAAAGUUUGCGGCUCAACCGUAAAAUUGCAGUUGAUACUGGUUGUCUUGAGUACAGUAGAGGUGGGCGGAAUUCGUGGUGUAGCGGUGAAAUGCUUAGAUAUCACGAAGAACUCCGAUUGCGAAGGCAGCUCACUGGACUGCAACUGACACUGAUGCUCGAAAGUGUGGGUAUCAAACAGGAUUAGAUACCCUGGUAGUCCACACAGUAAACGAUGAAUACUCGCUGUUUGCGAUAUACAGUAAGCGGCCAAGCGAAAGCAUUAAGUAUUCCACCUGGGGAGUACGCCGGCAACGGUGAAACUCAAAGGAAUGGACGGGG